Molecule: long non-coding RNA, 226 nt
Organism: Anoplopoma fimbria (sablefish)
Lineage: Eukaryota; Metazoa; Chordata; Actinopteri; Perciformes; Anoplopomatidae
Exons: 3
Source: RefSeq, a predicted model, not a curated record
UACACGGUCCAUGGUGGAGUCUUCAGGUCGGUGAAGAAGAGGAACGUCACACAGACCAACUGAAAGAACGUCUUCUCCGUGCUGAAGCUCUGAGACUGCUGAAUGAACAAAGACGCAUGAAGGGCCAGGAGAAGAAGAGAACGAUAACGCCUGGAACAAACAUUUGAGUGAAGACACAAGGUGUUGGACGAGGAGCAGCAGACUGGAUGGAGACGAGGACAUCAAG